Molecule: ribosomal RNA, 253 nt
Filed under: uncultured bacterium
Lineage: Bacteria
Description: partial 16S ribosomal RNA
Rfam family: Bacterial small subunit ribosomal RNA
Source: RNAcentral
UACGUAGGGGGCAAGCGUUGUCCGGAUUUAUUGGGCGUAAAGAGCGUGUAAGCGGCCAGGUAGGUCUGCUGUGAAAACUCGAGGCUCAACCUCGAGACGCCGGUGGAAACCAUCAGACUAGAGUCCGGAAGAGGAGAGUGGAAUUCCUGGUGUAGCGGUGAAAUGCGCAGAUAUCAGGAAGAACACCCGUGGCUAAGGCGGCUCUCUAGUACGGUACUGACGCUGAGACGCGAAAGCGUGGGGAGCGAACAGG